RNAcentral lists this ribosomal RNA (1783 nucleotides) under uncultured Acidobacteriota bacterium. RNAcentral describes it as "bacterial LSU rRNA". It matches the Rfam family "Bacterial large subunit ribosomal RNA", at positions 189 to 1973 of the family's 2925-position model. Lineage: Bacteria; Pseudomonadati; Acidobacteriota. The record is from RNAcentral.
GGAAGUGAACCAUCUCAGUACCCAGAGGAAGAGAAAACAACCGUGAUUCCGGUAGUAGUGGCGAGCGAACCCGGAACAGCCUAAACCAGGCGAUUCGAAAGGAGAGCCUGGUGUUGCAGGGCCGCAAUAUCAGGUAGGGGCAAGUUAGAAGCUUGCUUCGACCUGGUAAACGAGGGAUAGGGGAGUGUUAAUCGAACGGUCUGGAAAGGCCGGCCAUAGAGGGUGACAGCCCCGUAGGUGAAAAUGCAAUCCUCCUUCAAGCGGUUCCUAAGUACCGCGGGACACGUGGAACCCUGCGGGAAUCUACCGGGACCAUCCGGUAAGGCUAAAUACUCACUUGCGACCGAUAGUGAACCAGUACCGUGAGGGAAAGGUGAAAAGUACCCCUGCGAGGGGAGUGAAAUAGUACCUGAAACCACACGCCUACAAGCAGUUGGAGGGCUAUACCCGCAAGGGGAUGCCUGACAUCGUGCCUAUUGCAUAAUGAGCUGGCUAGUUAUUCUCAGUGGCAAGGUUAAGCGAAAGCGAGCCGUAGCGAAAGCGAGUCUGAAUGGGGCGUUCAGUCGCUGGGAAUAGACGCGAAGCGGGAUGAUCUACCCUUGGCCAGGAUGAAGGUCGUGUAACAGCGACUGGAGGUCCGAACCAGUGUUGGUUGAAAACAGCUUGGAUGAGCUGAGGGUAGGGGUGAAAGGCUAAUCAAAUUCCGUGAUAGCUCGUUCUCUCCGAAAUAGCUUUAGGGCUAGCCUCGCGUGGUCCGUCGCGGUGGUAGAGAUCUGAAUGAACUAGGGGCCUUCCCAGGUUACCGAAUUCAACCAAACUUCGAAUGCCGCUAACGUGUAACGCGGGAGUCAGACAGUGGGGGCUAAGCUUCAUUGUCGAAAGGAAAACAGUCCAGACCACCAACUAAGGUCCCCAAAUCUACGCUCAGUGGGAAAGGAAGUCGGGCGCCUCAGACAGCCAGGAGGUUGGCUCAGAAGCAGCCAUCCUUUAAAGAAAGCGUAAUAGCUCACUGGUCGAGGAACCCGGUGCCGACAAUAUAACGGGGCUCAAGCGUAGUACCGAAGUUGUGGAUUCGGCAGCAAUGUCGAAUGGUAGGAGAGCGUUCCCACAGCAGUGAAGGUGAACCGAAAGGAUCACUGGAGUGGUGGGAAGUGACUCUGCCAGCAUAAGUAGCGAAAAACCAGGUGAGAACCCUGGUCGCCGUAAGUCUGAGGAUUCCUGAGAAAGGUUAAUCCGCUCAGGGUUAGUCGGAGCCUAACGCGAGGCCGAAAGGCGUAGCGGAUGGACACACGGUUAACAUUCCGUGACUACCUUGGUUUUCGAUGCGGGGACGCGGGACGUAAGUUCCUCUGCGCAAUGGUUUCAAAGAGGAAUGAAGUCAGGUUGGGAGAGGCAAAUCCGCCCAGCCGUCCGCCAGGAAAAGCCGCUAAGGUUAGGAUCAAGGUAUCCGUACCACAAACCGACACAGGUGGACGAGAUGAAUAUUCUAAGGCGCUCGGGUGAUGGUAUGUUCAGGAACUAGGCACAUUAGCUCCGUAACUUCGGGAGAAGGAGUGCCCACCUAAGACGUGGGCCGCAGUGAAUAGUCUCAGGCGACUGUUUAACAAAAACACAGGUCUCUGCAAAGUCGAAAACGACGUAUAGGGGCUGACGCCUGCCCGGUGCCGGAAGGUUAAAGGGAGAGGUUAGUGGUGUUAGCAAUAACGCUGCGAAGCUUUGAACUGAAGCCCCGGUGAACGGCGGCCGUAACUAUAACGGUCCUAAGGUAGCGAAAUUCCUUGUC